GUACUGCCGCGAAGACUACUCUCCAUUCACGCGCGGAGACUUCGCUCCUCCUCCUCGGCGUCCUCACUCGCUCCUCUGUACUGCCGCCGCGCCGCUGCAUCCUCGCCGAAGUCGUCUUCUUCUCCGUCCGCCGCCGGAGCCGAGGUCCCCUUCCGCCGCUGCCGGAUCCUACCAUCCGUCGCGGCCGGCGCUCCUCCUCCUCGCUCGCUCGCUCGCUCCGGAUUACUGCCGACGCGCCGCCGCAUCCUCGCCGGAGCCGAGGUCCCCUUCUGCCGCCGCCGGAUCCUACCAUCCGCUGCGGCCAGCGCCGAGGGCGGCCCCUUCCGCCGCCGCCGCCGACGCAGUCAGUGCCUCCCUCUACCGCCGCCUAGGCCCCCGCCUCCGUGCCGUCCGGGAGCAGGAGUUUCGGCAGGGUCGUGUGGUCGCCGUCGUGCCGCCACAGAUCGAGACUCGCUGUCGCCCCGCCGCAAAUGCCUCUGGAUCUCGCCUCCCACCACAGCCACGUGAUCUUCUCUCCCACCGGCCUUCCACUAGCUGCCUGCACCUCCUCAGUCGGGUAGCCGCCACCGACCCUUGCCCUUCGCUGCCCCGUCAUCACGGUCGUCCAAGCCGCGUGCCGCCAUCGCCAGCCAUCCUUCUUACACUCACAGAAUGUAGCGUAUCUUAGCAGAUGCCAAUGUGAAUGCAGUGACAUAUGUGGGCUUCAGUAAUUAGGAGGAACCAAAUAGCAAAGAAGGCUCCUAAGCUCCUGGUGCAUAUUUUCAGUUAUUUCAUUUUCUGGAUCUAGCUUGAUUGAUUGACUUGAACAUUCCAUUUUUCCAGGUGACAUAUAUGAGGUUAUGCUCCUAUAGGUUGAUUUCAUAUUUUUUUCCCCUGUGAACGCAACUGACCUCUCGGUCAAUAGUUCUUCCUUACUGUGAUUCAUGUGCUUCAAGUUAAUAGUCUGGUUCUUUCAAAAUGAGCAGAUCAGUGCUUCUUGAGGUAUUCUACUAAUAACCUUUGCCUUUGGUUUUACUCACACUCUGUGAGUGUGUAAAAGUAGCUUUCCACUGGACUUCCUUGAUUUCCAUGGAUAUGCAGUUAGACAUAGGUGUGUGACGCAUUAACGUGUCUUUCUGCAGGUUGGCACUUGAUAAUUUUGUAUUGUAAUAUAUAAAUAACUCAGUUGCGCAGGUGAUUAAUGGUUGACAGAAAAUUGCCUUCAAUUUAGUUCCGUCAAUAAGAUACUGUGAUCUAACUCAAUUCUCUUCCAUGCCUGACAGCAUUGAUUCUUGCUGUAAAUUUGUAUUUCUCUACAAAUCAACUUUUAUUGCUGAAAAAAUAUUCACUUCAAAUACAUAGAUGUGCUUUAAUGACUAUUUAUGAUGAAAUUCAUUCAAAGCUUUGGUUUGCCAUCGUUUGGCCACCAGUUUUUAAUUCCGAUUGCUACAGAGGAAUUCGCUGUUAGUUUUUAUUUGCUAUGCUUGUUUCUAAUUUACCUUGCAGUUGCAAUUACGGAGCCCUCACCAAGAACGGCAACAACAGCAGGCAAAGCUCAACAGAUUUGGGUUUGGCGCUGCAAGCUGGAAGAAGUAGGCGCAUCAACAGCAUAAUCCUUUCAGUUUUGGGAUACAAGAUGCGAGUGCUCAGUCACGAAAUGCUCUUGGCCAAUCAAAGCUUUUCCAAAUAUGUGAGGUAAGGAACAGAUGGACAUGGAAGAAUUGGAGGUAACCAAUAUUGUUACGCAUAUAUUUUCCUAUCUGAAUCUGUUGUAGAGAAUGGCAGAUUUCCUUCUCACAGGCAUAAUUGCAGACGGUCAAUACUUUGAAAGGGUAGCUUCGGUUAGAGGUUUGUAGUACCUUUGCUAGCAUUUAUCUACUCAUCUUGGAGAUAUUAGUUAAUUGUGAAUCGAUGAGCAGUGGUCAAAAAGAAGAAAGAGCAUGAAUUCCAUAACUAAAUCUUGUGGGCUAUUUUGUCAAUCCAUAACUAAACCUCAGUAAAACUUUUAGUACCCAACCUGUAGAUCAUAACUGAAUAUUCACCUAAUAUUGUGGCCUACAAUUUCAUUUCCCAAUUCGAUGCUCUAGAAGUUUAGAACUAUAACAUGCAUAAUUUCAUUUUUCUUGCACUGCAUAAUUUUGUAAUUACAGCAUGUAUUGGACAAACCUGCAUCUUUUGCUUGUAUAUAAAGAUUAUGUUGUAGAAAGCAGUGGAAAUGAUUUUUGAUGUUUCGGUUCAGUAUGCAGUGGAUAACGCUGGUGAAAGCUCCAAACCAAAUUCGUCCGCACGAACAGUUGUGCCAACCCUGACUAAUCUGAUACCACAUAUUGAUGGGCCUGUACUGCCAACUUUUUUCAUGCCUUGUGAUGUGCUGUGCUUAAAACUCCUACACUGCUCCUGACCAUUGAAUCAGGCAUGUGUUUUGAAUGAUGACUACUUCAUGUAAGCCUAUGGAAAAAAAAACAUUUCAGUGGACGGUUAUAUUACUCAAUGUGAUUACUCAAUGUGAUUAAGGAUAGCACCCCAAGGUGAUUUAGAACUGGUAUUUUUCUGCAGGAAAUGAACAUAUGCAGUCUGUAAUGAUACCUAUGUGUUUCCCCGUUUCAGAAAAUGACAAUGUAUCUUGCAUCCAGCAUUUGUUUCUUCAGAAAAUGUACAAUGCCUAUACCAUUCAGUGUCACAAAAUGUUUCUUCAGACCACACAAAGUAUGGGAUUGCCACGAUUAAAUCUUCUAUCCCUAUAAGCUACAAUUGAUGUACAGAUAAUUGAAUCAACAUAUACUUCUUAUGAAGAAGAAUCACUAUUGGUGCACAUUUCACAUGGUUUGGUAACUAAUUUGAUUGCGGCUAUCCAUGGGCGUGAAGCAGCAUAUACAGUUGCAGUUCUAGGAGAACCAUGUCAUCAUGUAAAAAACAUGGCAAGACGCAGGAAUGUUGGCUGGAUCAAUUUUUCAUUGAUCCAUUAUUUGGUCUUGAUAUGGAAAAUGUAACAAGAUGCUACAGAAGGAGCUGGAUCACACACCAACACACACCAACAGUAAAAACUGACCCUUCAUACUGGGUGGCAGGACGAGCAGCUACCUUGAAUAACUCUAUUGAUACAUGCAAGAAUGUACAGUAUAUUUAAUUGAAAGCAUGUCACGUCCAUGACUUUUGACAAACUAGAGAAUGUUGUAGGAUGAAUGUAUGUGUUGUAUAGUCUUACCUGAAGCUAAUUUGACCUUUGGUAUUUACAAAAAGUGCCUGCAAAGAGUUAUUAAGAUAUUGCAAUUUACACUACAAUAUAUAUGUAAUUUUUGAACUUUGGUUGUUCACAUGUUGGGUGUGAUAUAUAUUGUGGAAAAAAGCAAUAAUCUUCGGGUGAUUUUA
Oryza sativa Japonica Group (Japanese rice) is the source of this 3348-nucleotide non-coding RNA. NCBI's taxonomy places the organism in Eukaryota, Viridiplantae, Streptophyta, Magnoliopsida, Poales, Poaceae. The record is from RefSeq and is a predicted model, not a curated record.